UCCGGUUGAUCCUGCCGGAGGCUACCGCUAUUGGAGUUCGAUUAAGCCAUGCGAGUCGCGAGAAAUUAGAUUCUCGGCGUACCGCUCAGUAACACGUGGGUAACCUGCCCUAUGCUGGAUAAUAACCUCGGGAAACUGAGAAUAAUGAUCCAUAGUUCACUACGCCUGGAACGGUGAGUGGAUGAAAGCUCCGGCGGCAUAGGAUGGGCCUGCGGCGUAUCAGGUUGUAGGGGGUGUAACGUACCCUCUAGCCCUCUACGCGUACGGGUGUUGGGAGACAUAGCCCGGAGAUGGAUUCUGAGACACGAAUCCAGACCCUACGGGGUGCAGCAGGCGCGAAAACUUGGCAAUGCGAGAAAUCGUGACCAGGGAACUCCAAGUGCAUCGGGUAAGACCGGUGCUUUUCUUGACUCUAAAUAGGUCUUGGAAUAAGGGGUGGGUAAGGACGGUGCCAGCCGCCGCGGUAAUACCGGCGCCUCAAGUGGUAGUCGCUUUUAUUGGGCCUAAAACGUCCGUAGCCGGUCUGAUACAUUCGUGGGUAAAUCAACCAGCUCAACUGGUUGAAUUCUGCGAGGACGGUCAGACUUGGGACCGGGAGAGGUGUGGGGUACGCUCAGGGUAGGGGUAAAAUCCUGUCAUCCUGAGCGGACCACCUGUUGCGAAGGCGCCACACUAGAACGGAUCCGACGGUCAGGGACG
RNAcentral lists this ribosomal RNA (699 nucleotides) under uncultured Candidatus Poseidoniales archaeon. RNAcentral describes it as "bacterial SSU rRNA". It matches the Rfam family "Archaeal small subunit ribosomal RNA", at positions 1 to 706 of the family's 1478-position model. Lineage: Archaea; Methanobacteriati; Thermoplasmatota; Candidatus Poseidoniia; Candidatus Poseidoniales. The record is from RNAcentral.